Molecule: transfer RNA, 60 nt
Filed under: Genetta genetta (small-spotted genet)
Lineage: Eukaryota; Metazoa; Chordata; Mammalia; Carnivora; Viverridae
Description: tRNA-Ser
Source: RNAcentral
GAAAAAGUACUGCAAGAACUGCUAAUUCAUGCUCCCGUACAUAAAAACACGGCUUUUUCA